GUUGUAUAGUCAAGUAAUUAAGUGCAUGUGGUGGAUGCCUUGGCAGUCAGAGGCGAUGAAAGACGUGCUAGCCUGCCAAAAGCUCCGGGGAGUCGGCGAAGAUCCUUUGAUCCGGAGAUGUCUGAAUGGGGAAACCCACC
Molecule: ribosomal RNA, 140 nt
Filed under: Pseudoramibacter porci
Lineage: Bacteria; Bacillati; Bacillota; Clostridia; Eubacteriales; Eubacteriaceae
Description: Eubacteriaceae bacterium RF-744-FAT-4 partial 23S ribosomal RNA
Rfam family: Bacterial large subunit ribosomal RNA
Source: RNAcentral